Non-coding RNA from Myotis brandtii (Brandt's bat), 87 nucleotides. The record is from Rfam. Lineage: Eukaryota; Metazoa; Chordata; Mammalia; Chiroptera; Vespertilionidae.
AGAGGCCCUCCGCGGCUGGGGCAGAAUGCUUGCCUCAUUGCCAUGGAAACGAAGCAAGUAUUCUGCCAGGCUGCUCACACUGCCUGC